AACGAACGCUGGCGGCAGGCUUAACACAUGCAAGUCGAACGCAUGCCUUCGGGCAUGAGUGGCAGACGGGUGAGUAACGCGUGGGAACCUACCCCUUGGUACGGGAUAGCUCCGGGAAACUGGAUAUAAUACCGUAUGUGUCCUGAGGGACAAAGAUUCAUCGCCAAGGGAUGGGCCCGCGUCGGAUUAGCUAGUUGGUGGGGUAACGGCCUACCAAGGCGACGAUCCGUAGCUGGUCUAAGAGGAUGAUCAGCCACAUUGGGACUGAGACACGGCCCAAACUCCUACGGGAGGCAGCAGUGGGGAAUAUUGGACAAUGGGCGCAAGCCUGAUCCAGCCAUGCCGCGUGAGUGAUGAAGGCCCUAGGGUUGUAAAGCUCUUUCACCGGUGACGAUAAUGACGGUAACCGGAGAAGAAGCCCCGGCUAACUUCGUG
RNAcentral lists this ribosomal RNA (435 nucleotides) under uncultured bacterium. Its description in RNAcentral is "partial 16S ribosomal RNA". It matches the Rfam family "Bacterial small subunit ribosomal RNA", at positions 29 to 507 of the family's 1533-position model. The record is from RNAcentral.